RNAcentral lists this transfer RNA (72 nucleotides) under Ictidomys tridecemlineatus (thirteen-lined ground squirrel). RNAcentral describes it as "Spermophilus tridecemlineatus (thirteen-lined ground squirrel) tRNA". It matches the Rfam family "tRNA". Rfam says of the family: Transfer RNA (tRNA) molecules are approximately 80 nucleotides in length. Their secondary structure includes four short double-helical elements and three loops (D, anti-codon, and T loops). Further hydrogen bonds mediate the characteristic L-shaped molecular structure. tRNAs have two regions of fundamental functional importance: the anti-codon, which is responsible for specific mRNA codon recognition, and the 3' end, to which the tRNAs corresponding amino acid is attached (by aminoacyl-tRNA synthetases). tRNAs cope with the degeneracy of the genetic code in two manners: having more than one tRNA (with a specific anti-codon) for a particular amino acid; and 'wobble' base-pairing, i.e. permitting non-standard base-pairing at the 3rd anti-codon position. Lineage: Eukaryota; Metazoa; Chordata; Mammalia; Rodentia; Sciuridae. The record is from Rfam by way of RNAcentral.
GAAGAUGUAGCUCAGUGGUAGAGUGCUUGCCUAGCAUGUGAGAGGCCCUGGGUUCAAUCCUUGGUAUUAUUU